AGCCGUGUUUACACGGCGAGACCGCGGACGGCUCAUUAAAUCAGUCGUGGUCCAUAUGGGCUAGAGUUAAUCCUACUUGGAUAACUGUGGUAAUUCCAGAGCUAAUACAUGCAACUCUUAUCCCGACGUAGCGCGGCAUAUCUAACGGUUUGUCGUAGCGCUGACGGAUGCUUUUAUUAGACCAAACCGCUGGGUGCGUGUUCGUGUUUACUCGCGGAUGCGUACUACUCGUUUAAUGGUGACUCUGGAUAACCUUAUUGACAAGCGCACGUACUCCUCGUGGGACGGCGCUGCCACUUUCGAGUGUCUGCCUUAUCAGCUAUCAAUCGUUUGUUACGUGCACACGAUGGCUUUGACGGGUAACGGGGAAUCAGAGUUCGAUUCCGGAGAGGCAGCCUGAGAGACGGCUACCACGUCCAAGGACGGCAGCAGGCACGCAAAUUACCCAAUCCCAGCACCUGGGGGAGGUAGUGACGAAAUAUAACGAUGCGGGCGCCCUUUCUGGGGCCCCGCAAUCGGAAUGGCCACUUUCUAAACAACCUGUUGAGAACCUACUGAAGGGCAAGUCUGGUGCCAGCAGCCGCGGUAAUUCCAGCUUCAGUAGCAUCUAUUAAAGUUGCUGCGGUUAAAAGGCUCGCAGUUGAAUGUCAGUAUCGAGCGCAGGUCAGGUGGACGCUGGGGCGUGAACAUCAAAGGCGCUUCGCUUGUGUUGAUUGCUGACGUGUGUGUGCGCGCGCGCGUGUGUGUUCGUACGAAAGUGCGUCCAUAUUGCGUGUGUGUGUGUGCAUGCGUUUCUUUUGACUUUGAGUUGUGUCGUUCACAUGUCCCCGUCCGUAACAAGCCUCCUCGCUUGUGUACAUAACGGAAUCUGUAUUACGGAGUGUGCGUUGCGAGGAGUUGUAGCACUGCGUUUGCUGCCUUUCUCUUUCUCGUGUUGUGCGUGUUGUGCUCACUUUUGUGGGUGCGCGCGUGCGUGCGGGGCGGGGUUUGUGUGGUGGGCGUGCGUUGUCUCUCUCUUUUGCGCGUACGUUAAGCUCCAUCGGUUCUAUAGUCACCCUGAGUAAAUCAGAGUGCUCAGAGCAGUCGUAGGGGCCUUGUGCCCUUUGAACAGUCUAGCGGACUGACUUGGUUUUGCAUGGUAUGUCGUAAGACGACGUUUAGCGCUGGCUCAGAGUGUUUGUAAUUCAGUGGUACAAGCCAGCCUAGACGUAAUGAUUAAAAGGGACAGUCGAGGGCACUGGUAUUGCGAGGCGAGAGGUGAAAUUCUAUGACCCCCGCAAGACCUCCUGAAGCGAAAGCGUCUGCCAAGGAUGUUUUCAUUAAUCAUGAACGAAAGUUAGAGGAUCGAAGGCGAUCAGAUACCGCCCUAGUUCUAACCCUAAACGAUGCCAACCACCAAUCCGCGUGUAGCACCUUUCUUAACGGGCUCGGCGGGCAGCUCCUUACUUACGGGAAACCAGAGUCUCUGGGUUCCGGGGGGAGUCUGGUUGCAAAGCUGAAACUUAAAGGAAUUGACGGAAAGGCACCACCAGGCGUGGAGCCUGCGGCUUAAUUUGACUCAACACGGGCCAUCUCACCAGGCCAGCACUCUUGAACGAUUGACAGAUUGAGAGCUCUUUCUCGAUUUAGUGGAUGGUGGUGCAUGGCCGUUCUUAGUUGGUGGAGUGAUCUGUCUGGUUAAUUCCGAUAACGAACGAGACUCUCCCCUGCUAACUAGUCGGUUGGAUCUUGAUCUUAUGUUUCAUAUGUAUCGCUGUGAGUCGUGUGCCGAGUAAACCUGGCGUUGCCUGGGAGGAGGAGGUUGUUGGGUGGUGCGCUGAUGUGCUUGUGCGUGUGUGGCUCUAGCCUUGUGUUACGAGUCGUGCCGUGCUUGUGUGUUGGUGUUACCUCUCUCUCUUCUUUUUCUUUUGGUUUGCGUUGGGCCUUGGAUUGCACACUCCAAGUCCGCCGCUUAUGCUUAAAACUCUUCUUAGAGGGAUUCACGGUUCUGAAGCCGUAAGAGACUGAGAGCAAUAACAGGUCUGUGAUGCCCUUAGAUGUUCUGGGCCGCACGCGCGCUACAAUGCCGGGCACAGCAGGUUCUUUUCCUACUCCGACAGGAGCGGGUAACCCUGUGAAAGCCCUAUGUUUUACAGUUUAACGGGUGUCGAGCUCGUCUCGAUGCUCUUCUGGCGUGAUUGGGCCUGGGUCUUGCAAUUUUUUCCCACUAACGAGGAAUGCCUUGUAGCGGCGGGUCACUGAGCCCGCCGUGACUCAGUCCCUGCCCUUUGUACACACCGCCCGUCGCUACUACCGAUUGGGUGUACCAGUGAGAGCCUUGGACUGGCGUCUGCUGUUUCCUUAACUGUGUAAACAAGC
Molecule: ribosomal RNA, 2358 nt
Filed under: Hirondellea sp. n. DZMB 2021_0092
Lineage: Eukaryota; Metazoa; Arthropoda; Malacostraca; Amphipoda; Lysianassidae
Description: partial 18S small subunit ribosomal RNA
Rfam family: Eukaryotic small subunit ribosomal RNA
Source: RNAcentral